Molecule: long non-coding RNA, 1649 nt
Organism: Equus asinus (donkey)
Lineage: Eukaryota; Metazoa; Chordata; Mammalia; Perissodactyla; Equidae
Source: Ensembl
GCUCAUUUGUGAGAGAGUGUGGGAGUGUGUGUGUGUGUGUGUGUGUGAGAGGGCGUGGAUGGUGAGAGGGGCUGCGAGUGUGUGAGACUGUGCGUGUGAGACUGUAUGUGAGAGACUGAGCGAGAGUGUGAGAGACUGUGUGUGAGAGACCGUGUGUGUGAGAGGCUGUGUGUGAGAGACCGUGUGUGAGAGACCGUGUGUGUGAGAGACCGUGUGUGUGAGAGGCUGUGUGUGAGAGACCGUGUGUGUGAGAGACCGUGAGUGUGAGGCUGUGUGGGAGAGGCUGUGUGUGGGAGAGAGUGGGCUGGCGAGGGAGAGGAGAGCGUGUGUGUGGGGCGUGAGAAGCGCGCGCACACGGUCGCGCUCUCGCGGGUCCGCGGCCGCCUGGCCCCGGGGCUGUGCGGCGGGCGCCUGUCCCGAGCCUCCGGCCGGCCUGUGCGCGUCACCGCCCCUGUCCCGGGCCCCGCGGAGGCUCCGCGCGUGCUGCCUGGCGGGGUUGGUUGGUGCAGCCUUGGGAGCGUCCGGUGGGGUGUCUGCCUUUGUGUGUGUUUCAAUAACUGGUUGUAUAUCUUAGUUGCAGGUCCUUCUAGUUGUGGGAUGUGGGACGCUGCCUCAACGUGGCCUGAGGAGCGGUGCCAUGUCCGCGCCCAGCACCGCGCCCAGGAUCCGAACCCUGGGCCGCCGCAGCAGAGCACACGAACUUAACCACUCGGCCACAGAGCCAGCUCCUAGGGGACUAAUCCUAUGGAAGUCCUUUAGAAUAUGUUGUCUGGCUUUUUGGAGAUUCAGGCUUCUUGAUUCUUUCAGGAGUGUAUUGAUUCAUCAUUUAGCAGGAAGUUUAGCCCUGAGCUAAUAUCUGCCACCAAUCCUCCUCUUUCUGCGGCAGAAGAUUGGCCCUGAGGUAACAUCUGUGCCCAUCUUCCUCUAUUUUACAUGUGGGACGCCUGCCACAGCAUGGCUUGAUAAAAGUCAAUGAAGAGAUGUGUGGUGAGCCAUGUUGUGAAAGGUGUGGAUAUGCUUCUACCUUUGGCUGCACGAAUACUAUAAACUUGACACGAGAAAAACUUUUGAAGAGAAUUGGCUUGUGUGUAACUGUUUAAAAUGCUCUACCAUAAUAUUAUCUUUAAUCUUAGUAAUGAGGAUCAAGGCUGCCCCAGGGAGAAGGCCAAGGCGUCCUGCCCUACACACUGAUCUAUAUCAUCCUCGGGGAAGCAUAGGACGUCCUGACUUAAUCUGACGUUAUUCUUAUCUAAAAUUAUCGGACCACCCAAUAACCACACCCCACCUGCACUGAUAACAUUUUAACGAUUUUUUUCAUGAUCCUUCCUUUGUCUUGUAAAGAAAUAACUCACAUACCUAUGCCUUAUAAAUUUAGCUCUAACCCUCAACACACUGCAGCCCUUCACUGCCCGUGGGUCCUGUCCCUAUGCUACUCCAUGCUAUUCUCUGAAUAAAGGAGCACUACUGCCAGACCUUGAGAGUCCAAGAAAUCUUCCUUCCGACUCCUCAGCUUGCUGAGCCCGCAUCAUUAGGACAACAGUACUAGAUGAAUGAGGCCAGAUCCCACUUAUGCUUUUAGGAUUUUUAUAAUUUAUAAAUUCUAUUCACUUCUAUGAAUCCCCAGGCCUGCUCUCCAAGGCUACUCAGCC